CAGGGCGUGGCUGAGGCAGACAAGCAUCUCCCUUACACCGAGAAGACAUCCAUGCAAAUUGGGUCGCCCUGA
This 72-nucleotide transfer RNA is filed under the name Plotosus japonicus. Its description in RNAcentral is "tRNA-Val". The record is from RNAcentral. Lineage: Eukaryota; Metazoa; Chordata; Actinopteri; Siluriformes; Plotosidae.